GACAGAGGUGGCAAGCGUUGUUCGGAUUCAUUGGGUGUAAAGGGCAGGUAGGCUGUUUUGCAAGUCCGGCGUGAAAUCCCAGGGCUCAACCCUGGAACUGCGUUGGAAACUGCAUGACUUGAGUACUGUAGAGGUGUGGGGAAUUCUCGGUGUAAGGGUGAAAUCUGUAGAUAUCGAGAGGAACACCAGUGGCGAAGGCGCCACACUGGACAGUUACUGACGCUGAGCUGCGAAAGCAAGGGGAGCAAACAGG
This 253-nucleotide ribosomal RNA is filed under the name uncultured bacterium. RNAcentral's name for it is "partial 16S ribosomal RNA". It matches the Rfam family "Bacterial small subunit ribosomal RNA", at positions 524 to 776 of the family's 1533-position model. The record is from RNAcentral.